RNA transcript from Musca domestica (house fly), 2908 nucleotides. RefSeq lists it as uncharacterized. Lineage: Eukaryota; Metazoa; Arthropoda; Insecta; Diptera; Muscidae. The record is from RefSeq and is a predicted model, not a curated record. The transcript has 6 exons.
CAUUUAACAGUCUAGCCAAAAGAGAAACAGACAGAGAAAUAAAUUGAGCUAGACACACAGGUAAAAUAAAUGUUUAACGGUUUACUCACCUUUAAGACGGCCACCAGCCCGUAUGGGGAGAGUGAGAGAACUUAUAAAGCGAAGAAAACAAAAACAACCCACCGUUGAACCAAUUGAACAGAGUCAAGCAAGUAAAUACCAAAGCCGAGACCAUUGAGUGUGUAUGGGUUUUGGCCACAAAGCUUGAGUUAGGUAACUGGUGCUAACAAAAUAUAAAAAAACAACAACGACAGCGACAGACAAAAGGUCCAACAAAAACAGAAACAAAAAAAUAAAAUAUAAAAAUUCAAGCUGCCUCUAAAGCUGGGUGUGACUUUAAAAUACAAAUUCAGUUGCUGUUCGACACUUAAAAAAAGUAGGCAAAAAACAGAAUACGGCUAAAUUUCGAAUUGAAACGGAAAAACGGUGGAUGAAGCAGAAGUGGAAACGGGCCAAAAAAAUAUUUUGUUAAUAAUAGAAAUAAAAAAAAUAGAAAAUAGAGAAUUAAGUGUGGCAGAAUAUAAUGGAAAAAUUAUAUAACUGCAAUGAAAAUGUGUUGAUAUAAAGCUGGAAAACUAAAAAAAGAAAAACAAAAAUUCUCCACCAAGUGCCUAAAAAAUAAUUUUUAUAAAAAAAUCUGUUACAAAUUAAAAAAAGAACCAUAAAACGGAACACAUCACAACAUAUUUCACACGUACUUCCCCCUCUCUUUAAGUUCUCACACUCUCUCUCUCUCUCUGUUUGGUCAUAAGUAAAGUAAACUAAACUCCCUCUCCUUGCUGUGUUCGCUUCGUAUUUGUGAUCAUGUCCACCAGUGAUUUAAAUCAUACCGUUACUCAACAUCCUUUGCAGGAUGUUGAUUUAUCGGAACCCCCAACAAACACAUCUCCCUUUGCAAGCAAUGAAAAUAUUUCUCCAGCAACAACAACAACUGCCACAGCAGCACCUACAAAAAAUGUGAAUAAAGAAAAUUGGGUUAAAUUCGAUGACGACGUCAAUGAAGGUAUUUUAGGUACCAACAAUAAGAACACAAAACAUGAUAACGAGAAUGCAGGCAGCACUGCAACGACUGCAGUUGACGCUGCGUCAACGGCAAACAGGUUAACACCAUCACCCCUACCACCACCAACCAAUGCUAAGAGAAAUUCAGCUAACGUGGUUGCCGCUGCGGGGCCCGCGGCACGUCCACGAACUCCAACUCAAUUGGAGAGCGGCCCGAUACAACAGCUGCAUGUGGCUCAAUUGGAUGCGUCAACAUCACCUGUGCAGCAACAACAACAACAGCUGCACUCCACACGCUCUCCGUCGUCACAUUCCAUACCGGAUGUUGAUGCCCCGGCUGUAUUGACUACGGAAAGUACGCAUGUUGAUUUGAAUGCUUCCGUCAAAACAUCACCGCAACAACAACAUUACCAAAAUAAUAACCAACAACAUCACCACUACCAAAAAUCCACAAUUCCUAAUGCAGCUAAUAUCCAGGGGAAUGCAUCAGCUUCGUCUUCCAGUAACAAUGUUGUUGUUGCCAACAACAAUAACAGCCAUCACAAUCAACAACCAAAUUAUAGUAAUAAGCUUGGACCAUUGGGCGCCGGGGCACCCACACCCUCAUCAUCCUCGUCAGCAGCAGCAUCUGCGGUGGCCAAUAAUGUCACAAUCCCAGUAGAAUCUCAGCCACCAAUGCGGACAAUUGAGUUGUCAACUGGGCGGAUACGAGAAGGAUUUGCAAAUGGCGAUGUAAUUGUCACCCUUUUACCGGCUAACACAAAAUUCCCCUGGGUGACUCCGGCUAUUUUCCGUCCUGAAUUGGUACCUGAGGAGCUUAUGGCCCAAGGAUUGACCCUCACCGUUGAAGAAUAUGUCCAUGCCAUGGAGACCCUGGUCAACGAUUAUCGCUUCACCAUGUACAACAUUUGCUAUAAACGUAUCCUGGUGUGUUGGAUCCUGUUUGCAUUUACGGUCCUACUGACUCUACUCUUCUCAGGCCUCCAAGGGGUGGCCCUAUUCUCCCUCGGAGUGGGUUGGCUUUUCCUAAAUGCUGCUGCCAUAUUUUUGUGUAUGUGGGUGAAACUGCGUCUGGCUCGUGGCCUGGAAAAGUGUCUGGCCAGGGUGAAUAAACAGCUGAUUAAACAUAAAAUCCUACUGGUUUUGGAUGAUCGUGGUCGAAUUUCGUGUCAUAAAGUGAAUUUGUGUUUCUUGUAUUUCGAUUCGGGACCCUGUGUGAGUUUCCUCAAUGAAUUCCUGGAGCAUACUGAGCAAAAUGGUGGCGAGACCAUUAAGGCGGGAUGGGAGUCCAAGUUGGAUAUUGAUUUGAAUGAUAUUGUCAUACAGGGCAAUACACCCGUGAGGGUCUCAAGGAAACAGGAACGAGCCGUCCAAGUUUUUCUACGCUAUGCAUCACGCUGGGGCCGGGAAGCGAUAAGGGGUUUAGUGGAUGUCACCCCGCUGGAGCCGGGACGUCAUUGCGGACAAUUCCAGUGCCCGUGCCAAUACAUCAAAGAUCAUUUGCAGUGCAAGCCGAGAGGCAAGUUGAAAUUUUUGGAUUGUGUUUAUUGGGUGUUGGCCUCAGAACGUUAUGAAUAAGUGGAAAGUUGAAAGAGAAGGCAGGAGGGAAGAAAGAAGGAAGAAAAUGAGGGAUAAUCACCAGCAAGAGAGGGGGACUUUAUGUGUGUUUGUUGUGAAUAGUUUAGGUCAAGUAGUUUGGACUCGAGCCCCGGGAACCAUUUACAAUUGAAAUUUAGAGGAUACUGUGCAAUUAUGAAUUUUUUGUUUUAGAGAAAAGAAAAAUUCGAACCCCUUUCGUAACCCCCCCCCCACCAACACUCACACAUUAUUUAAAAAAACACCUACACUCGAAUACACAGAAAGAAAA